This is a non-coding RNA of Triticum aestivum (bread wheat), 135 nucleotides long. The record is from Rfam. Lineage: Eukaryota; Viridiplantae; Streptophyta; Magnoliopsida; Poales; Poaceae.
GAAGUACUCCCCCCGUCCCAAAAUUCUUGUCUUAGAUUUGUCUACAUGUGGAUGUAUCUAUUCACAUUUUAGUGUUGGAUACAUCUAUGCAUAGAUAAAUCUAAGACAAAGAUUUUAAGACGAAGGAAGUAUAAG